This 627-nucleotide ribosomal RNA is filed under the name uncultured bacterium. RNAcentral's name for it is "bacterial SSU rRNA". The stretch from base 1 to 542 matches the Rfam family "Bacterial small subunit ribosomal RNA", at positions 338 to 873 of the family's 1533-position model. The record is from RNAcentral.
CCUACGGGAGGCAGCAGUGGGGAAUUUUGGACAAUGGGCGCAAGCCUGAUCCAGCCAUGCCGCGUGCGGGAAGAAGGCCUUCGGGUUGUAAACCGCUUUUGUCAGGGAAGAAAAGGUUCUGGCUAAUACCUGGGACUCAUGACGGUACCUGAAGAAUAAGCACCGGCUAACUACGUGCCAGCAGCCGCGGUAAUACGUAGGGUGCAAGCGUUAAUCGGAAUUACUGGGCGUAAAGCGUGCGCAGGCGGUUAUGCAAGACAGAGGUGAAAUCCCCGGGCUCAACCUGGGAACUGCCUUUGUGACUGCAUAGCUAGAGUACGGUAGAGGGGGAUGGAAUUCCGCGUGUAGCAGUGAAAUGCGUAGAUAUGCGGAGGAACACCGAUGGCGAAGGCAAUCCCCUGGACCUGUACUGACGCUCAUGCACGAAAGCGUGGGGAGCAAACAGGAUUAGAUACCCUGGUAGUCCACGCCCUAAACGAUGUCAACUGGUUGUUGGGAGGGUUUCUUCUCAGUAACGUAGCUAACGCGUGAAGUUGACCGCCUGGGGAGGACGGCCGCGAGUAGUUAACGUUACGUAAAGAAGUUAGUACGGCGNGAGAGNGCGACGGACGACGACGAGGGAGGAGG